AGUGGGAUAGCUGGAUCAUAUGGUGAUUCCAUUCCCAGUUUUCUGAGGAAUCUCCUCCAUACUGUUUUCCAUAAUGGUUGAACCAAUUUGCAGUUCUACUAGCAAU
Molecule: microRNA precursor, 106 nt
Filed under: Marmota monax (woodchuck)
Lineage: Eukaryota; Metazoa; Chordata; Mammalia; Rodentia; Sciuridae
Source: RNAcentral